Molecule: long non-coding RNA, 412 nt
Filed under: Sorghum bicolor (sorghum)
Lineage: Eukaryota; Viridiplantae; Streptophyta; Magnoliopsida; Poales; Poaceae
Description: long non-coding RNA (SBIC_LNC003958)
Source: RNAcentral
UGGAGGUGAAUAAUCUUGCUUGCAUUAAUGCAUGUAGCUUGCUUAUUUUUUUUUCCUCUGUAUAUGCAUGGAUUUGUCUAUAUAUGCAUGCUACUGUACUCAUUUGCUUUUGGUGUGAUGUGCUUGACACAAAAGAAACUACGAUUGCACUAUUAGUAUUAUUUCCUCAUAGUUGCAAUUAUUAGUAUUAUAUAGUCAUACACAGAAAUUUGGACAACAGCAUGCAGUAGUUGAUUCAUGCUCAUAGCUUGACCAUUGUCUGUACCGUUUAGCUCCUUUUUUUUUGUUUUGCCCAUAUGUAUGCAGUAUAUCAUUGAUUUUUUUUCUUGCGGGUUGCCAUCUUAACCGAUGACCAUACAUGUGUGUCUAGUAUGAGGAUGGCAACUACAACUCCAAAUUGCAAGUGGGUAGC